RNAcentral lists this small RNA (568 nucleotides) under Stylophora wellsi. RNAcentral's name for it is "eukaryotic LSU rRNA". The stretch from base 339 to 568 matches the Rfam family "Eukaryotic large subunit ribosomal RNA", at positions 1 to 226 of the family's 3401-position model. The record is from RNAcentral. Lineage: Eukaryota; Metazoa; Cnidaria; Anthozoa; Scleractinia; Pocilloporidae. RNAcentral also lists the same sequence under 1 other name.
GCAGAAUUCAGUGAAUCAUCGAAUCUUUGAACGCAAAUGGCGCUCUUGGGUUCUCCCAGGAGCAUGUCUGUCUGAGUGUCUUUUUCGUUGAAUGACAUUCGCACGAUGUGGCCGUGUCAUGCACUGGCGUUUCGUGCGGCGUUGAGGUUCGCGGCCUUGCUAUUCUUAGGCCGCGUGCCUUUAAAUGGAGGAGGAAGAUGGGCUCAAGGUCCGGUGCAGUCGCAUGCGGAUUCAGUUCAUGUGCCGCAUGUGACUGCUGCACCGGGGAAUAUUGUCCUCGGCCCUCUACCUCGUGACCUUUAGCACGACGUUCGUUCGUUCGUUCGUUGCUUGCCGCCAGACCUCAGAUCAGGCAAGGCUACCCGCUGAAUUUAAGCAUAUUAAUAAGCGGAGGAAAAGAAACUAACAAGGAUUCCCCCAGUAACGGCGAGUGAAGCGGGAAGAGCUCAAAUUUGAAAUCUCCGAUGCCUGCAUCGGCGAGUUGUAGUUGCGAGAAGCACUUUCUAGGCGGAAGGGCCCUGCCUAAGUUGCUUGGAACAGCACGUCGCAGAGGGUGACAACCCCGUCU